AACGCUAGCUACAGGCUUAACACAUGCAAGUCGAGGGGCAGCAUGGUCUUAGCUUGCUAAGGCCGAUGGCGACCGGCGCGCGGGUGAGUAACGCGUAUCCAACCUGCCUUACACUCUUGGACAGCCUUCUGAAAGGGAGAUUAAUACAAGAUGUUAUCAUGAGUAAGCAUUUUCGCAUGAUUAAAGGUUUACCGGUGUAAGAUGGGGAUGCGUUCCAUUAGAUAGUAGGCGGGGUAACGGCCCACCUAGUCUUCGAUGGAUAGGGGUUCUGAGAGGAAGGUCCCCCACAUUGGAACUGAGACACGGUCCAAACUCCUACGGGAGGCAGCAGUGAGGAAUAUUGGUCAAUGGACGAGAGUCUGAACCAGCCAAGUAGCGUGAAGGAUGAAGGUUCUAUGGAUUGUAAACUUCUUUUAUACGGGAAUAAACGGAUCCACGUGUGGAUUUUUGCAUGUACCGUAUGAAUAAGGAUCGGCUAACUCCGUGCCAGCAGCCGCGGUAAUACGGAGGAUCCGAGCGUUAUCCGGAUUUAUUGGGUUUAAAGGGAGCGUAGAUGGGUUGUUAAGUCAGUUGUGAAAGUUUGCGGCUCAACCGUAAAAUUGCAAUUGAUACUGGCAGUCUUGAGUACAGUUG
Molecule: ribosomal RNA, 633 nt
Filed under: uncultured bacterium
Lineage: Bacteria
Description: bacterial SSU rRNA
Rfam family: Bacterial small subunit ribosomal RNA
Source: RNAcentral